RNAcentral lists this ribosomal RNA (1010 nucleotides) under uncultured bacterium. Its description in RNAcentral is "bacterial SSU rRNA". It matches the Rfam family "Bacterial small subunit ribosomal RNA". The record is from RNAcentral.
AGAGUUUGAUCAUGGCUCAGGAUGAACGCUGGCGGCGUGCUUAACACAUGCAAGUCGAACGAUGAUGGGAGCUUGCUCCUGGAUUAGUGGCGAACGGGUGAGUAACACGUGAGUAACCUGCCCUUAACUCUGGGAUAAGCCUGGGAAACUGGGUCUAAUACCGGAUAUGACUCCUCAUCGCAUGGUGGGGGGUGGAAAGCUUUAUUGUGGUUUUGGAUGGACUCGCGGCCUAUCAGCUUGUUGGUGAGGUAAUGGCUUACCAAGGCGACGACGGGUAGCCGGCCUGAGAGGGUGACCGGCCACACUGGGACUGAGACACGGCCCAGACUCCUACGGGAGGCAGCAGUGGGGAAUAUUGCACAAUGGGCGCAAGCCUGAUGCAGCGACGCCGCGUGAGGGAUGACGGCCUUCGGGUUGUAAACCUCUUUCAGUAGGGAAGAAGCGAAAGUGACGGUACCUGCAGAAGAAGCGCCGGCUAACUACGUGCCAGCAGCCGCGGUAAUACGUAGGGCGCAAGCGUUAUCCGGAAUUAUUGGGCGUAAAGAGCUCGUAGGCGGUUUGUCGCGUCUGCCGUGAAAGUCCGGGGCUCAACUCCGGAUCUGCGGUGGGUACGGGCAGACUAGAGUGAUGUAGGGGAGACUGGAAUUCCUGGUGUAGCGGUGAAAUGCGCAGAUAUCAGGAGGAACACCGAUGGCGAAGGCAGGUCUCUGGGCAUUAACUGACGCUGAGGAGCGAAAGCAUGGGGAGCGAACAGGAUUAGAUACCCUGGUAGUCCAUGCCGUAAACGUUGGGCACUAGGUGUGGGGGACAUUCCACGUUUUCCGCGCCGUAGCUAACGCAUUAAGUGCCCCGCCUGGGGAGUACGGCCGCAAGGCUAAACUCAAUGAUUGACGGAUCGUCGACCUGCAGCAUGCAGCUUGCACUGGCGUCGUUUACACGUCGUGACUGCAAAACCCUGCGUUACCCACUUAUCGCUUGCAGCACAUCCCCUUUCGCAGCUGGCGUAUAGC